RNAcentral lists this ribosomal RNA (252 nucleotides) under uncultured bacterium. RNAcentral describes it as "partial 16S ribosomal RNA". It matches the Rfam family "Bacterial small subunit ribosomal RNA", at positions 524 to 775 of the family's 1533-position model. The record is from RNAcentral.
UACAGAGGGUGCGAGCGUUAAUCGGAAUUACUGGGCGUAAAGCGUGCGUAGACGGUUAUGUAAGUCGGGUGUGAAAGCCCCGGGCUCAACCUGGGAAUUGCAUUCGAGACUGCAUAGCUAGGAUGCGGAAGAGGGAAGUGGAAUUUCCGGUGUAGCGGUGAAAUGCGUAGAUAUCGGAAGGAACAUCAGUGGCGAACGCGACUUCCUGGUCCAGCAUCGACGUUCAGGCACGAAAGCGUGGGGAGCAACAGG